This 365-nucleotide ribosomal RNA is filed under the name Cryptosporidium parvum. RNAcentral's name for it is "SSU rRNA". It matches the Rfam family "Eukaryotic small subunit ribosomal RNA", at positions 703 to 1072 of the family's 1831-position model. Lineage: Eukaryota; Apicomplexa; Conoidasida; Eucoccidiorida; Cryptosporidiidae. The record is from RNAcentral.
UAUAAUAUUAACAUAAUUCAUACUACUAUAUAUUUUAGUAUAUGAAAUUUUACUUUGAGAAAAUUAGAGUGCUUAAAGCAGGCAUAUGCCUUGAAUACUCCAGCAUGGAAUAAUAUUAAAGAUUUUUAUCUUUCUUAUUGGUUCUAAGAUAAGAAUAAUGAUUAAUAGGGACAGUUGGGGGCAUUUGUAUUUAACAGUCAGAGGUGAAAUUCUUAGAUUUGUUAAAGACAAACUAAUGCGAAAGCAUUUGCCAAGGAUGUUUUCAUUAAUCAAGAACGAAAGUUAGGGGAUCGAAGACGAUCAGAUACCGUCGUAGUCUUAACCAUAAACUAUGCCAACUAGAGAUUGGAGGUUGUUCCUUACUC